CCGAGUGACCGACAGGUCUAGAAGGCAAUGGGCUGGGGGCUGUCGGCCCUGCGAAGGCAGAUCGUGGCGAUUCCAGACGGCAGGAAGCCCAGUGAAGCGUUGUGGAAAGCGUUACAGACGACAGAGAGACCAGGCCACUGGGGUCCUCCAUGUCCUUGCCAGACUUCAGCCACAAGCUCUGGAGCAUCUGCCAAAGGAAGAGGCAAGAACGCUAUUCAUAAAGCCAAGAAUGGAUAAAUGAAAAGAUGGUUUGCAUGCACAGUGGAAUAUUACUCAGGCAUAAAAAAGAGCAAAGUC
Dipodomys spectabilis (banner-tailed kangaroo rat) is the source of this 297-nucleotide long non-coding RNA. RefSeq lists it as uncharacterized. The transcript has 2 exons. NCBI's taxonomy places the organism in Eukaryota, Metazoa, Chordata, Mammalia, Rodentia, Heteromyidae. The record is from RefSeq and is a predicted model, not a curated record.